This 521-nucleotide ribosomal RNA is filed under the name Tubuca urvillei. RNAcentral describes it as "partial 16S ribosomal RNA". It matches the Rfam family "Bacterial large subunit ribosomal RNA", at positions 1815 to 2605 of the family's 2925-position model. Lineage: Eukaryota; Metazoa; Arthropoda; Malacostraca; Decapoda; Ocypodidae. The record is from RNAcentral.
ACAUGUCUGUUUGAAGAUAUAAAAAGUCUAGCCUGCCCACUGAUAUUUUUAAGGGCCGCGGUAAUUUGACCGUGCAAAGGUAGCAUAAUCGUUAGUUUUUUAAUUGGAAUCUUGUAUGAAUGGUUGAACAAAAGGAUGACUGUCUCUAUAUUUAUUUGAAUUUAACUUUUAAGUGAAAAGGCUUAAAUACAUUAAAAAGACGAUAAGACCCUGUAAAGCUUGAUAAAUUUUAUUAUUUAACUGAAUUUGUUUAUAAGGGUUUAAUGAGAGAGUUUAUUUUAUUGGGGCGAUAAUGAUAAAAUGGUUUAACUGUUAAUAAAAAGACAAGGCUAGGUGUAUAAUUAAUAAAUGAUCCUUAAUUAAGAUUAAAAGUUUAAGUUACUUUAGGGAUAACAGCGUUAUUUUUCUUGAGAGUUCAUAUCGAAAGAAAAGUUUGCGACCUCGAUGUUGAAUUAAAAUUUCUAUAUAAUUGCAGAAGUUAUAUUAGAGGGUCUGUUCGACCUUUAAAUUUUUACGUGAUC